GGUGACUCAGUGGUUGAGUGCUUGUCUUGUAUGCGUGAGGCCCUGGGUUUGAUUCCUAGCACCA
RNAcentral lists this transfer RNA (64 nucleotides) under Dipodomys ordii (Ord's kangaroo rat). It matches the Rfam family "tRNA". Rfam says of the family: Transfer RNA (tRNA) molecules are approximately 80 nucleotides in length. Their secondary structure includes four short double-helical elements and three loops (D, anti-codon, and T loops). Further hydrogen bonds mediate the characteristic L-shaped molecular structure. tRNAs have two regions of fundamental functional importance: the anti-codon, which is responsible for specific mRNA codon recognition, and the 3' end, to which the tRNAs corresponding amino acid is attached (by aminoacyl-tRNA synthetases). tRNAs cope with the degeneracy of the genetic code in two manners: having more than one tRNA (with a specific anti-codon) for a particular amino acid; and 'wobble' base-pairing, i.e. permitting non-standard base-pairing at the 3rd anti-codon position. The record is from Rfam by way of RNAcentral. Lineage: Eukaryota; Metazoa; Chordata; Mammalia; Rodentia; Heteromyidae.